UUGCGCCUGCGGCAGAUCCGGCACAGCGUUUAUGAAAUGCUUCGCAGGCAGCUUCGCUGUGUACGAUCCGGUCAAUCCCGGAAUUUCCGGGAUUUAACGUUUUCU
This 105-nucleotide small RNA is filed under the name bovine gut metagenome. RNAcentral's name for it is "RT-5 RNA". It matches the Rfam family "RT-5 RNA". From Rfam's summary of the family: Clostridium (Firmicutes). Environment (Cow rumen (57)) The record is from RNAcentral.